GCAAACUUGGUCAUUUAGAGGAAGUAAAAGUCGUAACAAGGUUUCCGUAGGUGAACCUGCGGAAGGAUCAUUAACAAAAAUAUUUCAUUCGUGUUGCCUCAUGCGCGGUGGUCGCCGGAGAAAUUGCUUCGGAGGCUGCUGCCGUGGGGGGCGGCGUACUGCUGCCUGCUCGCCUCUCGCAGUGUCCAACAUUGCGGGGGCGCGGGGGCGUACGUAACCAUUUCAUGACACAACAACCACACACAUUAUGAUUGACACCAAGAUUAUUAAAAGUAAUAAUAAUAACAACUUUUAACAAUGGAUCUCUUGGCUCUUGCAUCGAUGAAGAACGCAGC
RNAcentral lists this unclassified non-coding RNA (335 nucleotides) under uncultured fungus. RNAcentral's name for it is "partial contains small subunit ribosomal RNA, internal transcribed spacer 1, and 5.8S ribosomal RNA". The stretch from base 1 to 73 matches the Rfam family "Eukaryotic small subunit ribosomal RNA", at positions 1759 to 1831 of the family's 1831-position model. The record is from RNAcentral. Lineage: Eukaryota; Fungi.